This 467-nucleotide ribosomal RNA is filed under the name uncultured bacterium. RNAcentral describes it as "partial 16S ribosomal RNA". It matches the Rfam family "Bacterial small subunit ribosomal RNA", at positions 28 to 506 of the family's 1533-position model. The record is from RNAcentral.
GACGAACGCUGGCGGCGUGCUUAACACAUGCAAGUCGAACGGAAAGGCCCUGCUUUUGUGGGGUGCUCGAGUGGCGAACGGGUGAGUAACACGUGAGUAACCUGCCCUUGACUUUGGGAUAACUUCAGGAAACUGGGGCUAAUACCGGAUAGGAGCUCCUGCUGCAUGGUGGGGGUUGGAAAGUUUCGGCGGUUGGGGAUGGACUCGCGGCUUAUCAGCUUGUUGGUGGGGUAGUGGCUUACCAAGGCUUUGACGGGUAGCCGGCCUGAGAGGGUGACCGGCACAGUUGGGACUGGGAUACGGCCCAGACUCCUACGGGGGGCAGCAGGGGGGAAUAUUGCACAAGGGGCGGAAGCCUGAUGCAGCAACGCCGGGGGCGGGAUGACGGCCUUCGGGUUGUAAACCGUUUUCGCCUGUGACGAAGGGGGAGGGGCGGUAAUGGGUAAAGAAGCACCGGCUAAAUACGU